Magnolia sinica is the source of this 1711-nucleotide long non-coding RNA. RefSeq lists it as uncharacterized. The record is from RefSeq and is a predicted model, not a curated record. The transcript has 8 exons. NCBI's taxonomy places the organism in Eukaryota, Viridiplantae, Streptophyta, Magnoliopsida, Magnoliales, Magnoliaceae.
AUUUUCCUAAAUUACAAGGAUCAAUGCUUCAAGAGGUUCAUGAUGUUGGGAUGCUGUUUUUGUCCUUCUGUUGGGAAUUUUGAGGACCACUACUUGAUGAAUUGUCUACACCAAUACACAUGGGCAAUCAUCAACUGUGCCACCUGUGAGGUAAACAUGGGCCAGCUCUUCACAACUACCAACAAGAAGCUGCAGCGAAGAUCAUUCUGCGGUAUUCGGAGUUCUCAAGUUGCGGACAACAUGUGCCGAGACUCGAGCAUGAAAAAUCAGCAGGGUUUUUUUUCUUUUCUCUAGUUCGUCCUCCCCAAAAUAAACAUGUCUGUAUAGCAAUGAUUAUUUAGCAGGAGUUCAUCUCCCAAUCGUUGUUAUAUCUAUAUCUCUAUACCACUAUUACUUACCGGCAAUUCCAACAACAGUAAUAACACCUGUAGAAUUCACCUCUCUCAUGCUAAAGAUGCCAAAGGAAUGCAGAGCGCAUGGAUUUUAAAGAGGUUUGCUAGAUCCGCUUGCACUUCUACAAGCAGAUAUGUGCUAACCUUACACGUGCAGGACAUCUGAGCCAUGUGUCGGGGAUGUUUGCUGGCUCCACAUGCACUUCCGCAAGUGGAUACGUGCUAACCUGGAAAAUGUGCAGGACAUCUGAGCCAUGUAUCAGGUGUGCUCUACCAUGUACAUAACUGUGAGGAUGGUUAACUCAUCAGUUAGGCCACAUAGAUGAAAACGGUGGAUGGUUUAAACAAGCUCAGCAAUUCUUUUCUAGGCUGUCCAUGGUUUUAACACAUGCAUUUGUUUACAUGCUGAUUUGUCCAGCUCUGAUGUCAGGGCUGAGCCAUCUACAUGAUGGGGCCCACCUAAUACUUGGAUGGGAUGUCUACAAAAUUGUUUUUUCCUUUUCUUAUUUGAUAGAGUGGAUUGUUUUUCAAAGAUGUGACCAACAUCUUUCUAAUGGGGUAGCAGUCCCUGGAAAUGCCUACAACAAUGAUGCAAGUCAGCAUGGCAUGUGUACCAGUUGCAAAUAAGAGACAAAAAUUUACAGUUUUAAUAUGAAGAAUCAUGGUACCAAUGAAUCAGUGUGAAUAGAAUCAAAAGAUCAAAUCCCAAAGGCAAAAAAGAGUUAAAGAACUUAGCUGCAUAAUCAUUAUAUCUAGGUUAGAGAGGGAGGGAGGACCCACCUGGCCCAACUCUAGUUAUAGGUCUCUUUAGUCCAACUUCAAGAUGCCUUUGCUUCCAAUAGAAAAAAAGGCAAAAAUGCUCAACUUCUCUAUUGGAUAUGGGAAAGCCUAUGUUAGACUGGCCCGUGAUUAGAAGUGGCACUACUAAAGAGCAUGGAACUAACGAGGAUGAAGACCGGGCAACUAGAUUGAGGGCAUGCUCACUACGCGCAACUGGAUUCGGGCUAUGAUUCUGGCACCAUCUCUACAGUCUGAUCUAAGAUGAAGGAAGCUUGUCUUCUUGGAUGUGUGGUUGAUUUAAACAGGACAUCGGUUUCUUUGUUUUGGUUUUAAUUAUUAAGUGGUUGCAUCAGUCUCACUGCAAAGAUAUUGGCAUGUCCAUCCAAUUCUACAAUCUGUAGCCAAAUAUUUUAUUGAAAUUUUUUAAUGAAAAGAAAAAUGUAAUUGAAUAUUUUUAUUAGUAAGAUGUAGAUAUUGACGUUGAAUGUAUGGAAUGAUUAAAGCUGGCAAUGGACUAAGCCUGGGCUAGGAAAAAUCAA